AACGAACGCUGGCGGCAUGCCUAACACAUGCAAGUCGAACGAGACCUUCGGGGCUAGUGGCGAACGGGUGCGUAACGCGUGGGAACCUGCCCUUAGGUUCGGAAUAACUCCCCGAAAGGUGUGCUAAUACCGGAUAAUGUCUUCGGACCAAAGAUUUAUCGCCUUUGGAUGGGCCCGCGUUGGAUUAGCUAGUUGGUAGGGUAAAAGCCUACCAAGGCGACGAUCCAUAGCUGGUCUGAGAGGAUGAUCAGCCACACUGGGACUGAGACACGGCCCAGACUCCUACGGGAGGCAGCAGUGGGGAAUAUUGGACAAUGGGCGAAAGCCUGAUCCAGCAAUGCCGCGUGAGUGAUGAAGGCCUUAGGGUUGUACAGCUCUUUUACCCGGGAUGAUAAUGACAGUACCGGGAGAAUAAGCUCCGGCUAACUCCGUG
This 433-nucleotide ribosomal RNA is filed under the name uncultured bacterium. RNAcentral describes it as "partial 16S ribosomal RNA". It matches the Rfam family "Bacterial small subunit ribosomal RNA", at positions 29 to 507 of the family's 1533-position model. The record is from RNAcentral.